This 460-nucleotide ribosomal RNA is filed under the name uncultured bacterium. RNAcentral describes it as "partial 16S ribosomal RNA". It matches the Rfam family "Bacterial small subunit ribosomal RNA", at positions 338 to 795 of the family's 1533-position model. The record is from RNAcentral.
CCUACGGGAGGCAGCAGUGAGGAAUAUUGGUCAAUGGGCGCGAGCCUGAACCAGCCAAGUAGCGUGAAGGAUGACUGCCCUACGGGUUGUAAACUUCUUUUAUAAAAGAAUAAAGUGAGGCACGUGUGCCUUUUUGUAUGUACUUGAUGAAUAAGGAUCGGCUAACUCCGUGCCAGCAGCAGCGGUAAUACGGAGGAUCCGAGCGUUAGUCGGAUUUAUGGGGUUUAAAGGGAGCGUAGAUGGGUUGUUAAGUCAGUUGAGAAAGUUUGCGGCUCAACCGUAAAAUUGCAAUUGAUACUGGCAGUCUUGAGGACAGUUGAGGUAGGCGGAAUUCGUGGUGUAGCGGGGAAAUGCUUAGAUAUCACGAAGAACUCCGAUUGCGAAGGCAGCUUACUAAACUGCCACUGACAUUGAUGCUCGAAAGUGUGGGUAUCAAACAGGAUUAGAUACCCGAGUAGUC